Long non-coding RNA from Rattus norvegicus (Norway rat), 1414 nucleotides. RefSeq lists it as uncharacterized. The record is from RefSeq and is a predicted model, not a curated record. Lineage: Eukaryota; Metazoa; Chordata; Mammalia; Rodentia; Muridae.
CAUGUGUUCAUGAGUCCUAGUUCCCACAGAGACUAAAAGAAGGCUUCUGGUCCUCUGGCACUGGCAUUACAGGCAGGAGAGAAACCUGAGGGGCUGGGACCUGAAGUCGGGUCCUCUGUAAGAGCAGUAUGUGCUCUUAACCACAGAGCUGUCUCUCCAGCUCCUGUAUACUCAUUUACUAUCACCUCCUGGUUUGUUUCUCUAAGACACCACUGAAGCUUAAGGGAGGCUAGGAAGGUGACCAUCUUCUGUUCUGGGCCCUCAGAUAAACACUGGCUCUUCAGCUCCUUCUUCUGGAAAAUGGAGUUUGGGUCUUCUGGCUGAAGCUGAGUGCUGAGAAACAUCUUCCAGGCUGACUCAGUCACUGCUGUAGCUGUCUAGAACUGUCAGCUGCCAUUACCCAUUGGGGACUACACAAGGCUGCUCCCAUUAACUUUGCAUUACCGGGGAAGGGCUUUCUUGCCUUUCCUCAAAGAUUUAUGGACAGUUAACAGUUGUUUGGGGGAGAGGGUCAUGAAGCUGAGUCUCUUCCCAAGGAUCUAUAGACAGUUAACCAUUGUUGAAAUAUAUUUUUUUUCAGUGUUACGGCUGCCUGCAAGUUGCUCACUUUCCCGUUUAGUAACCCUAGUGACUCACUGAUUCAACAAACUAAGCUCAGAUGGAACCCCUUUUGGUGUCUAUGUUCAGUGCCCUCUCUGGGAUGAGGAGACAUGUCUAUUCAUCCAGACACUGAUCGAAUGCUUACUAGGACACCCUGGGAACUUCAAAGCACAUUGAAAAAUAAUGGAUCCAGACUUUUUUUUUCCUUCAAGCACUCCACAUUUUUUUCCCUUACAUUUGGAAAAAUACAACAGAGGCAGGAUCCUUGACAAAGCUAGUAACAGGGAUGCACAACGGUAUCGAGUAGAACCUUUGUGAUACCAACUGCCAGUUUGUGGCAGUUAUUCAGUCAAAGGGAGACUGCUGUGGGUCGGUCAUAAGGGACUCGGUGGAGGUGACUGACACCAGCUGGACCUUGACAUGGGUGGGAGACAGUUGAUGAAGAGAAAGAAAGUGCAUCCGGGUGAAAAUGCUCAAGGGCAGAAAUGGCUGCACGAUAGGUACAGGAAAUCCUGCGGCUGCUUGAAGUGUGAUCUAACACUGAGUGAUCUAACAGAGAUGGAGAAGGAGAAUCGAGCCUGAGGAGGAAGGGCGAGCAGCCAUGAGAUGACACCUUCUGAGACUGAGAGAUGGGUACACAGUCUUCAUUUUGCAACCCUGCCCAGGAGCACAUUCCAGGUUUUCACGAAAACUGGCACUUUUGUUUCCUUUUGGAGUUAACUUUUAGGGUAAGCUGUCUGCCUGUGCAGUAUGCUUGCAAACAUAACUGGAAUAUUCUUUUGAAUUUAUCUCUCAAUAAAAUGUCUUCCAACCA